This 353-nucleotide transfer-messenger RNA is filed under the name Anaerovoracaceae. RNAcentral describes it as "RUG099 sp012510935 Standard tmRNA". It matches the Rfam family "transfer-messenger RNA". Rfam says of the family: Bacterial tmRNA, also known as 10Sa RNA or SsrA, is named for its dual tRNA and mRNA-like properties. Its role is to liberate the mRNA from a stalled ribosome. The record is from RNAcentral. RNAcentral also lists the same sequence under 1 other name. Lineage: Bacteria; Bacillati; Bacillota; Clostridia; Peptostreptococcales.
GGGGGCGUAAUGGUUUCGACAGGUAUGUGGAACAAGGAUAAGCGAGCUGUGGUACCGAUCCACAUAAAACGCGGUCGUUUAAAAAGAAACGCUAAAACAAACAACAAUUUCGCACUAGCUGCUUAGUCAGCUCGCGUGUCGACUUAGGUUUCCCUGUAGGCUUAAGACCCGGCAUAAUUUAUACAGGACAACCUUGCGUGAUCUCCUGGUAGCGUAAGGGACUUUCAGGAUAGCUUGACCGUAGUCUGCUGAAUUGACGACGACUUAAGCGAAAUAUAAAUAAUCAGCUGCGCUCGGAGAAAGUCCUUCGGAAAUGUUCUUGGACGUGGGUUCGACUCCCACCGCCUUCACCA